GCGUACGGCCCCGCCGCGCUGCCGGAGAGGGAGGUGGCGCUGUUCCUCUCGUGCGCCGAGGAGGGCGGCGGCGUGCGCGUGCUGCUCGGGCUGCCGGCGCGGGCCAUGGCCGAGUUCGAGCGGCUCGUGGAGGAGGUGAUCGCCUCCUGAUCAAUCCACCGUGGUCAAACCCUUAUCAAAGCGAGCGUUAUCGUUGACUUAUUUAUACGUCAUGGCUCUUAAUUAAUUACUAAUAAUUUAUUGAGCAUCAAGAAAGUCAGUGGAAGUGUCAAGCCACUUUGCUGCAGCUGAUGAUGCCUCUACAUUCUGCAACAAGUUUGAAGAUGUCAUUUUGAAUGAGAAUUGUUGUGUGAGGAGUAACCAAAUGAGCACUUGCCAUUGUUUUCUCACGAAUUUUGAAGUCAUGAAAUAGCACUAAUUAUAGUGACCAGUCAACCCUAGACUUAUGUUGUUAAAAGAAUGAUGUGCAAACAAGGGAUUAGAUAACUCAUAUAUGAAGCUAUUUAAUGCCACUUUCCGAAUAAUUCAUGAAUUAACUCUAAAUUAGUUUCAAAACACAAUUUUUAUUGUAGUUGAUAACUAGCAAGAAAACGAUUAAAUACGCACACACAUCUACUCCCUCCGUUUCACAAUGUAAGAUAUUUCAGCCUUUAUUAGAUUCAUAUGAUGCUAAUAAAUCUAGACAUUACAAUAUAAAACAGAGGCAGUACGAGAGAUUAGCUAUCAUGC
RNAcentral lists this long non-coding RNA (729 nucleotides) under Oryza brachyantha (malo sina). RNAcentral describes it as "long non-coding RNA (OBRA_LNC000307)". Lineage: Eukaryota; Viridiplantae; Streptophyta; Magnoliopsida; Poales; Poaceae. The record is from RNAcentral.